AUACGGAGGGUGCAAGCGUUAAUCGGAAUUACUGGGCGUAAAGCGCUCGUAGGCGGUUUGUUAAGUCGGAUGUGAAAUCCCCGGGCUCAACCUGGGAACUGCAUUCGAAACUGGCAAGCUAGAGUAUGAGAGAGGGUAGUGGAAUUCCGGGUGUAGCGGUGAAAUGCGUAGAUAUCUGGAGGAACAUCAGUGGCGAAGGCGGUUGCCUGGACCAAAACUGGCGCUGAGGUGCGAAAGCGUGGGGAGCAAACAGGAUUAGAUACCCGAGUAGUCC
RNAcentral lists this ribosomal RNA (274 nucleotides) under uncultured bacterium. RNAcentral describes it as "partial 16S ribosomal RNA". It matches the Rfam family "Bacterial small subunit ribosomal RNA", at positions 523 to 796 of the family's 1533-position model. The record is from RNAcentral.